This 1501-nucleotide ribosomal RNA is filed under the name uncultured bacterium. RNAcentral's name for it is "bacterial SSU rRNA". It matches the Rfam family "Bacterial small subunit ribosomal RNA". The record is from RNAcentral.
AGAGUUUGAUCCUGGCUCAGAUUGAACGCUGGCGGUAUGCUUAACACAUGCAAGUCGAACGGAAACGAAACUAGCUUGCUAGUAGGCGUCGAGUGGCGGACGGGUGAGUAACGCGUAGGAAUCUGCCUGAUAGUGGGGGAUAGCCCGAAGAAAUUCGGAUUAAUACCGCAUAAUCUAUUCGUAGUAAAGUGGGGGACUUUCGAGCCUCACGCUAUCAGAUGAGCCUGCGUAAGAUUAGCUAGUUGGUAGGGUAAAAGCCUACCAAGGCUACGAUCUUUAGCUGGUCUGAGAGGAUGAUCAGCCACAUCGGGACUGAGACACGGCCCGAACUCCUACGGGAGGCAGCAGUGGGGAAUAUUGGACAAUGGGGGCAACCCUGAUCCAGCAAUACCGCGUGUGUGAAGAAGGCCUGAGGGUUGUAAAGCACUUUCAAUUGUGAAGAAAAGUUAACGGUUAAUAACCGUUAGCCUUGACGUUAACUUUAGAAGAAGCACCGGCUAACUCCGUGCCAGCAGCCGCGGUAAUACGGAGGGUGCAAGCGUUAAUCGGAAUUACUGGGCGUAAAGCGUGCGUAGGCGGUUUAUUAAGUCAGAUGUGAAAGCCCCGGGCUUAACCUGGGAACUGCAUUUGAAACUGGUCAACUAGAGUAUGGUAGAGGAAAGUGGAAUUUCUGGUGUAGCGGUGAAAUGCGUAGAUAUCAGAAGGAACAUCAAUGGCGAAGGCAGCUUUCUGGACCAAUACUGACGCUGAGGUACGAAAGCGUGGGUAGCAAACAGGAUUAGAUACCCUGGUAGUCCACGCCGUAAACGAUGAUAACUAGCCGUUGGGGGGAUUUACCCCUUAGUGGCGAAGCUAACGCGUUAAGUUAUCCGCCUGGGGAGUACGGCCGCAAGGCUAAAACUCAAAGGAAUUGACGGGGACCCGCACAAGCGGUGGAGCAUGUGGUUUAAUUCGAUGCAACGCGAAGAACCUUACCUGGUCUUGACAUCCUGCGAACUUUCUAGAAAUAGAUUGGUGCCUUCGGGAACGCAGUGACAGGUGCUGCAUGGCUGUCGUCAGCUCGUGUCGUGAGAUGUUGGGUUAAGUCCCGUAACGAGCGCAACCCCUAUCCUUAUUUGCCAGCACAUUAUGGUGGGAACUAUAAGGAGACUGCCGGUGAUAAACCGGAGGAAGGCGGGGACGACGUCAAGUCAUCAUGGCCCUUACGACCAGGGCUACACACGUGCUACAAUGGGAAGGACAAAGAGCCGCGAAGCCGCGAGGUGUAGCUAAUCUCAUAAAUCUUUUCGUAGUCCGGAUUGGAGUCUGCAACUCGACUCCAUGAAGUCGGAAUCGCUAGUAAUCGUAGAUCAGAAUGCUACGGUGAAUACGUUCCCGGGUCUUGUACACACCGCCCGUCAUACCAUGGGAGUGGGUUGCACCAGAAGUGGCUAGUCUAACUUUGUGAGGACGGUCACCACGGUGUGAUUCAUGACUGGGGUAAAGUCGUAACAAGGUAACC